Molecule: ribosomal RNA, 252 nt
Filed under: uncultured bacterium
Lineage: Bacteria
Description: partial 16S ribosomal RNA
Rfam family: Bacterial small subunit ribosomal RNA
Source: RNAcentral
GAUCAUGGCUCAGGAUGAACGCUAGCUACAGGCUUAACACACGCAAGUCGAGGGGCAGCGGGAUUGAAGCUUGCUUCAAUUGCCGGCGACCGGCGCACGGGUGAGUAACGUGUAUCCAACCUUCCGUACACUCAGGGAUAGCCUUUCGAAAGAAAGAUUAAUACCUGAUGGUAUCUAAGCACACAUGUAAUUAAGUAAUUAAAAGUAUUUAGUCGGUUGUACGAGUGGGAUGUCGUUCAUUAGGUAGUAGGG